GACGAACGCUGGCGGCGUGCUUAACACAUGCAAGUCGAACGGAAAGGCCCUGCUUUUGUGGGGUGCUCGAGUGGCGAACGGGUGAGUAACACGUGAGUAACCUGCCCUUGACUUUGGGAUAACUUAGGGAAACUGGGGCUAAUACCGGAUAGGAGCUCCUGCUGCAUGGUGGGGGUUGGAAAGUUUCGGCGGUUGGGGAUGGACUCGCGGCUUAUCAGCUUGUUGGUGGGGUAGUGGCUUACCAAGGCUUUGACGGGUAGCCGGCCUGAGAGGGUGACCGGCCACAUUGGGACUGAGAUACGGCCCAGACUCCUACGGGAGGCAGCAGUGGGGAAUAUUGCACAAUGGGCGGAAGCCUGAUGCAGCAACGCCGCGUGCGGGAUGACGGCCUUCGGGUUGUAAACCGCUUUCGCCUGUGACGAAGCGUGAGUGACGGUAAUGGGUAAAGAAGCACCGGCUAACUACGUG
This 468-nucleotide ribosomal RNA is filed under the name uncultured bacterium. Its description in RNAcentral is "partial 16S ribosomal RNA". It matches the Rfam family "Bacterial small subunit ribosomal RNA", at positions 28 to 507 of the family's 1533-position model. The record is from RNAcentral.